UUUAACAACAACAUUUUCAUUAUUUACACAAUUCAAUGCAAUUUCAGGGGUUUAACAUCAACAUUUUCAUCAUUCACACAAUUCAAUAAAAUAUCAUGUGUUUAAUAAUAACAUUUUCAUCAUUCACACAAUUCAAUAAAAUUUCAUGGGUUUAACAACAACAUUUUAAUCAUACCCACAAUUCAAUCAAAUUUCAUGGGUCUAACAUCAACAUUUCAUUAUUUCCAUAAUUCAAUCAAAUUUGAUAGAUGUAACAAUAACGUUUUCAUCAUUCACACAAUCCAAUUAAAUUUCAUGGGUUUAACAUCAACAUUUCAUCAUUUCCAGCAUUCAAUAAAAUUUCGUAGGUUUAACAACAACAUUUUCAUCAUUCACACAAUUCAAUCAAAUUUCAUAGGUUUAACAACAGCAUUUUCAUCAUUCCCAUAAUUCAAUCAAAUUUCAUGGGUUUAACAACAACAUUUUC
This 466-nucleotide long non-coding RNA is filed under the name Lathyrus oleraceus (garden pea). RNAcentral describes it as "Pisum sativum (pea) long non-coding RNA (PSAT_LNC041447)". Lineage: Eukaryota; Viridiplantae; Streptophyta; Magnoliopsida; Fabales; Fabaceae. The record is from RNAcentral.